This 211-nucleotide long non-coding RNA is filed under the name Glycine max (soybean). RNAcentral describes it as "long non-coding RNA (GMAX_LNC000821)". Lineage: Eukaryota; Viridiplantae; Streptophyta; Magnoliopsida; Fabales; Fabaceae. The record is from RNAcentral.
UAAUGGCUUUUUCCAGCAGAAGUUGCUUCUCCUUGUCAUCCUACAUAAACAAAGGGAACAAAACAAACUGAGACUAAACUGAAAUACAGAAGAGAAGAUAAUAAAAAGCAUUCCCCUUUUGGCCACCCAACAAACCUCUAACUUAUUCAUCUUCCUUUUUUGAGGUUUGCACAAUUUUUGUUUCUUAUUUGAUUUGACUUUUCCAUUUUCC